This is a non-coding RNA of Pelobates cultripes (western spadefoot toad), 233 nucleotides long. Lineage: Eukaryota; Metazoa; Chordata; Amphibia; Anura; Pelobatidae. The record is from the annotation of a GenBank genome assembly.
CUGUCUAUGUAUAUGGCUAUUGUGUUGUUGUGUGCGCCACGGGGAAUGAUGCAAAGGAGGUACGACUGGUGUGAGGGGGACGGACGAAGGGGGGGCAUCCUGCUAAGAUUGAGAUUAUCCGGUAUCUGAGCUAUCUCCUUUGGGGUCUCCAUGUAUCCUCAGUUGACCAUACAUGUCGCACAGAGAUUUAUCUGCGGAGGGGUUGGGGAGGGCCCCUCUAGGGCUUAGGUCCU